Molecule: long non-coding RNA, 616 nt
Filed under: Marmota monax (woodchuck)
Lineage: Eukaryota; Metazoa; Chordata; Mammalia; Rodentia; Sciuridae
Source: RNAcentral
GCUGAGGCUGGCUUUGAAUUCUCGAUCCUCCGGCCUCAGCCUCCGGAGCCGCUGGGAUGACAGGCGUGGCCACCGCCUGGCCCUGGCCUUCUCUCUUGGUCCUGGGAGUUGAACCCAGGAGUGCUACCAAAAAGCUGCACCCCCAGCCCUCGAUUGUAGUUUGUCUUUUGAGGCAGGGUCUCUUUUUUCCUGAGUAGUUACACAUGACAGCAGAGUGCAUUUCGAUGCAUGGUGCACCAGGGGAGCACAGCCUUCGUUUCUCUGGUUGUGCACAUCACAGAGUCGCACCGAGCGCGCGGUCAUUCGUGUACCUAGGGCAGUGAUGACCGUCUCAUCCCACCAUUCACCUAUCCCCCGUUAUGGAUCCGCGUCCACUGAACAGACAGAACUUUCGGCCUUGUUCUGGGGACUGGCUCACUUCCCGAGCGUGCUAUUCCCCAGCUCCAUCCGGUCCCCUGCAGAGGCCACGGACUUAUUCUCUUUUCCAACUGAGUUGAGACGGUCUUAUUCGGCUGCUGAGGGCCUCGGUGACAUUCUGAGGAUGGCCUCCGACUUGCAAUCCUCCUGCCUCAGUGUCCCGAGUCGCUGGGGUGGUAGGUGUGCGUCACCACAUCUG